This 262-nucleotide ribosomal RNA is filed under the name uncultured bacterium. RNAcentral describes it as "partial 16S ribosomal RNA". It matches the Rfam family "Bacterial small subunit ribosomal RNA", at positions 333 to 612 of the family's 1533-position model. The record is from RNAcentral.
UAAUACCUACGGGAGGCAGCAGUGGGGGAUAUUGCACAAUGGGGGGAACCCUGAUGCAGCGACGCCGCGUGAAGGAAGAAGUAGCUCGGUAUGUAAAUUUCUAUCAGCAGGGAAGAAAAUGACGGUACCUGACUAAGAAGCCCCGGCUAACUACGUGCCAGCAGCCGCGGUAAUACGUAGGGGGCAAGCGUUAUCCGGAUUUACUGGGUGUAAAGGGAGCGCAGACGGCUGUGCAAGUCUGGAGGGAAAGGCGGGGGCCCAA